Long non-coding RNA from Felis catus (domestic cat), 1608 nucleotides. RefSeq lists it as uncharacterized. The record is from RefSeq and is a predicted model, not a curated record. Lineage: Eukaryota; Metazoa; Chordata; Mammalia; Carnivora; Felidae. The transcript has 3 exons.
CAAUUAGACAAGGGAGGCGGGACUAGAGGGUUUUCAAAAGGCACCACUCGGCGUCUUAGCGGAGAGACGGACAGGGAAUCUGGCGAAUGAGGAGGAGUCUAUUUGUUCUCUCGGUGCAGACUACCCCGAAGAGACUCGGGGGGCCAGCGGGGUUUUCUGAGGUCCUUCUCUUGGCUUCAGUCCAGCCUCUCCUGCAACUCCUUCCUCCAUGUCCCAGCACCUUUAGCUCUCUCAGGUUUGCUGUCAAGGGGGCAAGUCUGGCUUUGGGGUUGGAACCCAUCCUUUCAGUUCCCAUUUUAUUCCCACAAGCGCUUCAAGAGGCAGAAUAGGUGGAGAUGAUGUACCUCCAUUUUAUAGUUAGGGACAAUUCCAGCUCUAAGGGGUGGUGUCCAAGUUCAUACAAUACGUUGGCGCCUCAGUGAUGAUGGAGGGGGAUAGAGCUAGGGGAAGUUUUCUGAAUCAGGUGCAGGCUGGGCUUCCCCCGGGGACGUAAAGAGCCUGGCUCUGUUUGCCCUUAUCCAAGACAGAAAAGACCCCAGUUUGUCUGUGAGAUAGCAGGGAGAGAAUCCCAGAAUCUUGUCCCCGGGCCCUCCCGCCCCCCACCCCGUCAGAACUCUCCAGAUCUUCUGCAGUCUUGAUAGUUGCCAGUAGGUGCCGUCAGUUUGCAACUUUUAUGUUCUGUCCCUACAAGUUCAGCUUCCAGCCCCUCUCUUCUUCCUAUCACCUGGACAGUUUACACUUGGAGAAAGUGGAAGGGGGCCUACUUGCUGGGAGACUGAAAGAUCGCUGUCCUGGGAGUCUGGAAGAUGGUCUCUGAUCUGUACUUUGGCUUGGCUGCCUUGUAGCUUUAUAGGCCAAGCCAAAAAAAAAAAAAAAACAAAAACCCAUGGUAGGUCACCUAUUAUGUCCUGACAGGCACCCUUACCCCUCAGGCAUCCUGAAACCAGCUCCAGGACAGCAGAAAGCUUUGUGGGGGAGGAUAGAUGAGUACCUAGGGAACUGGGGAACAGAGAGAGAACCCAGGAGACAGGUCCCUACUCAAAUGUUACUGUAGGGUCCCUCCCAAUCCCAGCAGGACUGAGGCGAGCGUGGGGGAAACAGGCACCAGCAGGAUCUCACAGAGGACCUAGCCAGCCCCUACCUAGCCCAAAUAGCAAAGCUGGUCGAAUUAGGAAAAGACACCCCUACCUGGAAAUGCUUGUCUGCCACCUGCUGGAAAACUGUCAUAACAGCUACACAAAUCUACAAGGGGCUAGGAGAGAAAUAGGAGUUGUGCGAUGCACAAUUUGCACAACGACAGUGGCAAUCUCCCUGGUCAAUCUUCCUCUGGGGAGGGAGUCGGGCAGUGAAAACAAGCAUCCAGGAAGGAAGAAGGGGCUUAGCACCUCCUUCCCCAGGAGUUCGGUUGAUACAGUUCUCUGGAAGGCAGAGUGGACCAGGGCCCAGAUGAGCCCUGGGGAAAUAGGGCUCGGGUUCAGAGGCGCUCUCGGCGCCUGCCACGGCUUCCAAACUGCGCCGCUUCCUUCUGCGGCAGAAAAGGACUUUCAGAUGUUGUAGCGGCGGCGGCGGCAGCGGCGGCGGCAGCGACUCAGGACAGCGCCCCCUCCC